This 429-nucleotide ribosomal RNA is filed under the name Pseudomonadota bacterium. RNAcentral describes it as "Proteobacteria bacterium partial 16S ribosomal RNA". It matches the Rfam family "Bacterial small subunit ribosomal RNA", at positions 355 to 776 of the family's 1533-position model. Lineage: Bacteria; Pseudomonadati; Pseudomonadota. The record is from RNAcentral.
UGGGGAAUAUUGGACAAUGGGCGAAAGCCUGAUCCAGCCAUGCCGCGUGUGUGAAGAAGGUCUUCGGAUUGUAAAGCACUUUAAGUUGGGAGGAAGGGCAGUAAGCGAAUACCUUGCUGUUUUGACGUUACCGACAGAAUAAGCACCGGCUAACUCUGUGCCAGCAGCCGCGGUAAUACAGAGGGUGCAAGCGUUAAUCGGAAUUACUGGGCGUAAAGCGCGCGUAGGUGGUUCGUUAAGUUGAAUGUGAAAGCCCCGGGCUCAACCUGGGAACUGCAUCCAAAACUGGCGAGCUAGAGUAGGGCAGAGGGUGGUGGAAUUUCCUGUGUAGCGGUGAAAUGCGUAGAUAUAGCAAGGAACACCAGUGGCGAAGGCGACCACCUGGGCUCAUACUGACACUGAGGUGCGAAAGCGUGGGGAGCAAACAGG